UCUCCUGGAAACGGGUGGUAAUGCCGGAUGCUCCGACUCCUCGCAUGGGGUGUCGGGAAAGAUUUCAUCGGUAUGGGAUGGGGUCGCGUCCUAUCAGGUAGUCGGCGGGGUAACGGCCCACCGAGCCUACGACGGGUAGCCGGCCUGAGAGGGCGACCGGCCACAUUGGGACUGAGAUACGGCCCAGACUCCUACGGGAGGCAGCAGUGGGGAAUAUUGCACAAUGGGCGCAAGCCUGAUGCAGCGACGCCGCGUGCGGGAUGACGGCCUUCGGGUUGUAAACCGCUUUUGAUCGGGAGCAAGCCUUCGGGUGAGUGUACCUUUCGAAUAAGCACCGGCUAACUACGUGCCAGCAGCCGCGGUAAUACGUAGGGUGCAAGCGUUAUCCGGAAUUAUUGGGCGUAAAGGGCUCGUAGGCGGUUCGUCGCGUCCGGUGUGAAAGUCCAUCGCUUAACGGUGGAUCUGCGCCGGGUACGGGCGGGCUGGAGUGCGGUAGGGGAGACUGGAAUUCCCGGUGUAACGGUGGAAUGUGUAAAUAU
Molecule: ribosomal RNA, 539 nt
Filed under: Bifidobacterium pseudocatenulatum
Lineage: Bacteria; Bacillati; Actinomycetota; Actinomycetes; Bifidobacteriales; Bifidobacteriaceae
Description: bacterial SSU rRNA
Rfam family: Bacterial small subunit ribosomal RNA
Source: RNAcentral